AGAGUUUGAUCCUGGCUCAGGACGAACGCUGGCGGCGGGCUUAACACAUGCAAGUCGAACGAACAGAUCACCCAAACUUCGGUUAGGUGUAAUGUUAGUGGCGAACGGGUGAGUAACACGUAGGUAACCUACCCUCGAGCGGGGGAUAACCAUUGGAAACGAUGGCUAAUACCGCAUAAAGUCCCGACAACUCCUGUUGUUGGGAUGAAAACUCCGGUGCUCGGGGAUGGACCUGCGGUGGAUUAGGCAGUUGGUGAGGUAACGGCUCACCAAACCCACGAUCCAUAGCUGGUCUGAGAGGAUGAUCAGCCACACUGGCACUGAGACACGGGCCAGACUCCUACGGGAGGCAGCAGUGAGGAAUAUUGGGCAAUGGGGGAAACCCUGACCCAGCCACGCCGCGUGCAGGAUGACACCCCUAUGGGGCGUAAACUGCUUUUAUAUGGGAAGAACCCUCUCGAUUCGUCGGGAGCUGACGGUACCAUACGAAUAAGGACCGGCUAACUCCGUGCCAGCAGCCGCGGUAAUACGGAGGGUCCAAGCGUUGUCCGGAUUUAUUGGGUGUAAAGGGUGUGUAGGCGGGCUUGUAAGUCAGAGGUGAAAUCCUACGGCUCAACCGUAGAACUGCCUUUGAUACUGCAGGUCUUGAGUCCUGGAGAGGUUGUUAGAAUUCGUGGUGUAGCGGUGAAAUGCGUAGAUAUCACGAGGAAUACCGGUUACGAAGGUUGACAACUGGACGGGUACUGACGCUGAGGCACGAAAGCGUGGGGAGCAAACAGGAUUAGAUACCCUGGUAGUCCACGCCGUAAACGAUGAUCACUCGGUGUCGCGGAGCAAUCUGCGGUGCCUAAGCUAACGCAUUAAGUGAUCCACCUGGGGAGUACGAUCGCAAGGUUGAAACUUAAAGGAAUUGAUGG
This 917-nucleotide ribosomal RNA is filed under the name uncultured bacterium. RNAcentral's name for it is "bacterial SSU rRNA". It matches the Rfam family "Bacterial small subunit ribosomal RNA", at positions 8 to 916 of the family's 1533-position model. The record is from RNAcentral.